Molecule: ribosomal RNA, 454 nt
Filed under: uncultured bacterium
Lineage: Bacteria
Description: partial 16S ribosomal RNA
Rfam family: Bacterial small subunit ribosomal RNA
Source: RNAcentral
GAUGAACGCUGACAGAAUGCUUAACACAUGCAAGUCAACUUGAACUUCGGUUUGGGUGGCGGACGGGUGAGUAACGCGUAAAGAACUUGCCUCACAGCUAGGGACAACAUUUGGAAACGAAUGCUAAUACCUGAUAUUAUGAUUUUAGGGCAUCCUAGAAUUAUGAAAGCUAUAUGCACUGUGAGAGAGCUUUGCGUCCCAUUAGCUAGUUGGAGAGGUAACGGCUCACCAAGGCGAUGAUGGGUAGCCGGCCUGAGAGGGUGAACGGCCACAAGGGGACUGAGACACGGCCCUUACUCCUACGGGAGGCAGCAGUGGGGAAUAUUGGACAAUGGACCAAGAGUCUGAUCCAGCAAUUCUGUGUGCACGAUGAAGUUUUUCGGAAUGUAAAGUGCUUUCAGUUGGGAAGAAAAAAAUGACGGUACCAACAGAAGAAGUGACGGCUAAAUACGUG